Bos taurus (domestic cattle) is the source of this 71-nucleotide non-coding RNA. The record is from Rfam. NCBI's taxonomy places the organism in Eukaryota, Metazoa, Chordata, Mammalia, Artiodactyla, Bovidae.
UCCCAGAUGGCUCAGUGGUAAAGAAUCAGCCUGCCAAGCAGAAGACGCAGGUUCAAUUCCUGGGUCGGGAA